CCUACGGGCGGCUGCAGUGGGGGAUAUUGCACAAUGGGGGGAACCCUGAUGCAGCGACGCCGCGUGGGUGAAGAAGCGCCUCGGCGCGUAAAGCCCUGUCAGCAGGGAAGAAAAUGACGGUACCUGAAGAAGAAGCCCCGGCUAACUACGUGCCAGCAGCCGCGGUAAUACGUAGGGGGCAAGCGUUAUCCGGAGUUACUGGGUGGAAAGGGGGCGCAGACGGCGAUGCAAGCCAGGAGUGAAAGCCCGGGGCCCAACCCCGGGACUGCUCUUGGAACUGCGUGGCUGGAGUGCAGGAGGGGCAGGCGGAAUUCCUGGUGUAGCGGUGAAAUGCGUAGAUAUCAGGAGGAACACCGGUGGCGAAGGCAGCCUGCUGGACUGCAACUGACGUUGAGGCCCGAAAGCGUGGGGAGCAAACAGGAUUAGAUACCCCUGUAGUC
This 440-nucleotide ribosomal RNA is filed under the name uncultured bacterium. Its description in RNAcentral is "partial 16S ribosomal RNA". It matches the Rfam family "Bacterial small subunit ribosomal RNA", at positions 338 to 795 of the family's 1533-position model. The record is from RNAcentral.